This 1446-nucleotide long non-coding RNA is filed under the name Cucumis sativus (cucumber). RNAcentral describes it as "long non-coding RNA (CSAT_LNC001796)". Lineage: Eukaryota; Viridiplantae; Streptophyta; Magnoliopsida; Cucurbitales; Cucurbitaceae. The record is from RNAcentral.
ACCUCUCUUCCUCUCCAGGGAGCGGUGUAUUAAUGGAGGAGAGGGUGAGAGGGUUGGUGGAAGGGAAAUUUGCCUUGUUGAUUAAGCGAAGAAGAAGAUGAAUUUAGCUGAAUGCGCAAAUGGAAAAUUGGUAUCUCCAUUAAAUAGGCAAGCUUCCUACUGUCUUUCUUCCUUUUCACUCAUUUUCAACCUUCAGUUCUUCUUUCCUUUUUUUUUUCUUUUUUUUCUUUUUUCUUUUUAUUUAUUUCUUUUUUUUUUUUGUCUUUGAUUUUGUGGAAUUAAUAUUAUAUUCCUAAGAAUAUUACAUUUAUACAAAUAAAUGAUAAUCCACCAACGUUUCUACCAUCAAUAAAUCAUAGCAAUUAAUACACUUUAUUUCAUUUCUAGAAAAUAUAUAUACUUAAUUGGUAAUGUUUAUAUUAUGUUUUUUUUUAUAUUUUUUUAAGACCUUUUGCAAAAGAAUAUGAAAUUUUGACAAACUUAUAAUUUUUGACAAUUAUCCUUUUAUUUAUUAAAAAAAAAAAAUCUUUUUGUUUAUGUUUUUUAAUUUUCAAUUUUCUUUCCUCGUAUUAAAAACAAAUUUCUAUUAAAAAACUAAAAAAGGAGUUUAAAAACAAAUUUCUAUUAAAAAAACUAAAAAAGUUGAAUUAGUUACAAAACGCACGGUUUUUAAAAAAUUAAUUUUCAAAAACAAAUAAAUUACCAAACAUGCUCUAAUUUUUUAAAAAAAAUUGUUAAAAAUAUUUAUUGAUUAGUUGUCAAAGUGAGGUGGGAUUUGAAUUUUGUUAACAUUCUAUGAAAGACUAAAAGGCAUAAAAAUUUCUUUAUAAAGAUUUAGAACUCUAUACAACCACAUAUUAGUAAAGUCAAAGUCAAGACAUUAGACCCCAGCGAAAUUUAAUAAUAUCUAAUCGGUUCAAUUUUUAGAAUUAUGAUAAGGUUUAGAGUCCAAUUUUAGCAUCUUUACAAGUUUAAGAACUUAUCUAUCAUUAUUGAAACUUUAGUGAUUUAUCUGGUUCUCUCAAUCUGAGCGUUGUGUAUUGUUCGGUUGUUGGAUUGUGAAUCUAAUAAUCGCUCUUUGGAUAUAUUUCACCUUCGUGGGGCGCACAAUAACAAACCAUUACAGGAGUCCACUGAAAUCCCAUGUUUUGGCAAAGAAAAUUCAAGAGAUUCAAAGGGAACCCGAGGCGGAUUUGGGCGCAAAUCGAUGAAAUCGAAUUUAGGAGAAAGAGGGUACUGACGGGGAAAGAAGAUGCCUGAAGGAGUAGGGGAUGAGAAAUGGUUCGACGAUGAGAGAAAUCGGGAUCGGAAAUUAGGGAAAGCCAUCGUUUAGAGACGGAUUUGAGAAUUCGUUGGUGGGUUGGGGAUGGAAAUUAGAGAUUUGAGUACAAGAAGAGAUAUUAUCAAAUUAGUAUUGAUAACAAAACAAAAAAAAAUAUAUGUAUC